This 466-nucleotide ribosomal RNA is filed under the name uncultured bacterium. Its description in RNAcentral is "partial 16S ribosomal RNA". It matches the Rfam family "Bacterial small subunit ribosomal RNA", at positions 28 to 507 of the family's 1533-position model. The record is from RNAcentral.
GACGAACGCUGGCGGCGCGCCUAACACAUGCAAGUCGAACGAGCGAGAGAGAGCUUGCUUUCUCAAGCGAGUGGCGAACGGGUGAGUAACGCGUGAGGAACCUGCCUCAAAGAGGGGGACAACAGUUGGAAACGACUGCUAAUACCGCAUAAGCCCACAGGUCGGCAUCGAUCAGAGGGAAAAGGAGCCAUCCGCUUUGAGAUGGCCUCGCGUCCGAUUUGCUAGUUGGUGAGGUAACGGCCCACCAAAGCAACGAUCGGUGGCCGGGCUGAGAGGUUGAACCGCCGCCUUUGGGCUGGGGCCCGGCCCAGGCUGCUACGGGAGGCAGCAGUGGGGAAUAGUGCACAAUGGGGGAAACCCUGAUGCAGCGACGCCGCGUGGAGGAAGAAGGUCUUCGGAUUGUAAACUCCUGUUGUCGAGGAAGAUAAUGACGGUACUCAACAAGGAAGUGACGGCUAACUACGUG